RNAcentral lists this ribosomal RNA (279 nucleotides) under uncultured bacterium. Its description in RNAcentral is "partial 16S ribosomal RNA". It matches the Rfam family "Bacterial small subunit ribosomal RNA", at positions 506 to 784 of the family's 1533-position model. The record is from RNAcentral.
UGCCAGCCGCCGCGGUAAUACGGAGGGUGCAAGCGUUAAUCGGAAUUACUGGGCGUAAAGCGCACGUAGGCGGCCAUUCAAGUCAGAUGUGAAAGCCCCGGGCUCAACCUGGGAACUGCACCUGAUACUGCCAGUCUAGAAUACGGUAGAGGGUAGUGGAAUUUCCUGUGUAGCGGUGAAAUGCGUAGAUAUAGGAAGGAACACCAGUGGCGAAGGCGACUACCUGGACCAAUACUGACACUGAGGUGCGAAAGCGUGGGGAGCAAACAGGAUUAGAUA